AUGGCCUUACCCAUUAGAUGUGAAAAUAUCGACCUAGGGCACAUAUUGCAAAAUUUUGGAGGAACAGUGGGGCAUUUCCCAACGACUUACCUGGGUUUGCCGCUGACGCUAGCCAGGCUGCGACUCGCGAACCUACAGUUCAUCAUAGAUAGGAUCAAAGCCCGUCUUGCGGGAUGGAAAGGGAAGCUGCUGCCAUUGGCUAGUCGACGUGUGAUG
Molecule: ribosomal RNA, 216 nt
Filed under: Triticum aestivum (bread wheat)
Lineage: Eukaryota; Viridiplantae; Streptophyta; Magnoliopsida; Poales; Poaceae
Description: partial small subunit ribosomal RNA
Source: RNAcentral